Molecule: ribosomal RNA, 468 nt
Filed under: uncultured bacterium
Lineage: Bacteria
Description: partial 16S ribosomal RNA
Rfam family: Bacterial small subunit ribosomal RNA
Source: RNAcentral
GACGAACGCUGGUGGCGGGCUUAACACAUGCAAGUCGAACGGAAAGGCCCUGCGUUUGUGGGGUGCUCGAGUGGCGAACGGGUGAGUAGCACGUGAGUAACCUGCCCUUGACUUUGGGAUAACUUCAGGAAACUGGGGCUAAUACCGGAUAGGAGCCCCCGUUGCAUGGUGGGGGGUGGAAAGUUUCGGCGGGUGGGGAUGGACUCGCGGCUGAUCAGCUUGUUGGUGGGGUAGUGGCUUACCAAGGCUUUGACGGGUAGCCGGCCUGGGAGGGUGACCGGCCACAUUGGGACUGAGAUACGGCCCAGACUCCUACGGGAGGCAGCAGUGGGGAAUAUUGCACAAUGGGCGGAAGCCUGAUGCAGCAACGCCGCGUGCGGGAUGACGGUCUUCGGGUUGUAAACCGCUUUCGCCUGUGACGAAGCGUGAGUGACGGUAAUGGGUAAAGAAGCACCGGCUAACUACGUG